CAGCCGCCGCGGUAAUACAGAGGGUGCGAGCGUUAAUCGGAUUUACUGGGCGUAAAGCGCACGUAGGCGGCUUGGUAAGUUAGAGGUGAAAGCCCGGAGCUCAACUCCGGAAUUGCCUUUAAGACUGCCGAGCUAGCAGGUGAGAGAGGUAAGUGGAAUUCCGAGUGUAGAGGUGAAAUUCGUAGAUAUUCGGAAGAACACCAGUGGCGAAGGCGGCUUACUGGCUCAUACUGGACGCUGAGGUGCGAAAGCGUGGGGAGCAAACAGGAUUAGAUACCCCCGUAGUCCCUGUCUCUUAUAC
Molecule: ribosomal RNA, 301 nt
Filed under: uncultured bacterium
Lineage: Bacteria
Description: partial 16S ribosomal RNA
Rfam family: Bacterial small subunit ribosomal RNA
Source: RNAcentral